GACUUACUUCCACAAGAAACCAAGGCAAAAAGGAGACGCUUGCAUUUGUGUUCGUUUCACUUGGAAUGCCAUGCCAUGAGACAGGAAUUUAGGACUACAGGGGCUGUGGGUUCGUCUUUGUGUGUACCUUGGUUUGGCCUGAGUUUUCUAGAUAUUAAUCCCCACUCCCAACCUAUCAUAUUACAAAAUUAUGAACAAAUUAUUUUAACUCUGUACAUCUGUGUUUAUAUUGUUUCCCACUGCUAUGCCAUGCACACACACAUGUAUGUGUCUCUGUGUAUAGAGUACUCAUGUUAACUGGAGCACAGGCUCUUCCAAACAGGAACACAGCAGACUAUUCAAACUGGGGGCUCCAAAGUUGCCACUUAAAGUGCUCCUUGUUUUAUUGACUGUUUGUCGUUCUGAAGUGGUUACUGUUCAGUUCAACUGAGCUAACUUGAAAUGUAUUUUCUGAUAGCAAGCACACAUGUCCUUUUUCUCCUAAAAUGUCAAGCUGCUGAGCAGCAGCUGCCAUGUUGGUGAAUGGCGUGAUGGAGCUUGACAGGCCUGUGGUGUAUUGUGACUUCACCUGACCACUACAUGUGAGAACUUAGAAAUAAAUAUGUGUCACAGUAGUAUUUCUUUUUAAAAAGCACCGAAUGGUUUUGAUGAUUUCGUCCUUGUACUGAACAUCAAAGUUUCAUCUCUGUUGUUUUAACAUACACUAAAGCAUUUGAAAAACUCAUAACAGCAAUGAGAGUAUAAUUAUAUCAGCUAGGGGCCAGUAAAUGCUCCCAGUUCCCCAGAGCAGCAUUUGUGUGUAAAAAAUCUUGCUAUGACUGAGCAGACUACAAAUUGGCAAAGUGUUCCAAUGUGGAAUGCAAAGAAAGUUCUAUGCCCCAUCCCAUGGGAAGGGAGUGAGUGAGCAGCUGCGUGGGACUCAGUUGCUGGCUGGGGUUAAAUCACGACGGCACUCAAAUCUGCAGUGCCAGAAGGGAGAAGAGCUUGUGCCGGUUGACAGGAACUGGACCGCUGGAUGUCUGGCAGCUACUGUUCCACCAACACCCAAGCUCAUCACCUGCAUGAUCCUCUCAUCAGAAAAAUACCCCAGAAGUCAGCAUCAGGAAAUCCAUCACACAGUGAGCCCUGGAGAAGUUAGCUGUUGGUGUACUGCCGAGCACUGCUGCCGUCUAGUGAGUCAGAGUUAAUAAAAUAAGGUGGUAAACCAACACUGGACUUACAAAGAGCUUCCCCCACUAAUGGGAGUUACCCAGGGUCCCAGAGAUGCUCAUUAUGUGUUGUUUAUGCCCAGUAGUAAAGUCUUGUAUUGCCUCAGUAGUGCUAGCUGAAAUGGUGCUCUGUGAUAAUAGAAUAAAAGUUGUCAAGGAGUUUUGUUGCCUGUACUUACGUAUCUCUGGGUUGUAUUCUUUAAUCUCUCUCCCCUCUCUCUCCCAUACCAGUGUUAUUUAUAGGAGCAAUUCUUCACUCAGCUGAAAAUAAAGGAAACCUUGAAAACACCUCAGGACAGGCUGAUUAUGAAUAAAUAGGGAUGUUAGCAUAGCAGGCAAAAAAACUCCCCAGUGUAAAUCCACUUAUUUCAGCCACACCA
Molecule: long non-coding RNA, 1588 nt
Organism: Pezoporus occidentalis (night parrot)
Lineage: Eukaryota; Metazoa; Chordata; Aves; Psittaciformes; Psittacidae
Exons: 3
Source: RefSeq, a predicted model, not a curated record